This 1449-nucleotide ribosomal RNA is filed under the name Megaelosia aff. goeldii FPDS-2022. Its description in RNAcentral is "partial 16S ribosomal RNA". It matches the Rfam family "Bacterial large subunit ribosomal RNA", at positions 133 to 2624 of the family's 2925-position model. The record is from RNAcentral. Lineage: Eukaryota; Metazoa; Chordata; Amphibia; Anura; Hylodidae.
GCCAAAAAUCUAGCCCAACUUUAUUUUAUAUCCCCUAAUACCUCAAUUUAUUAAUCAAAACAUUUUAACAAUUAAGUAGAGGCGAUUGAAAAAUUAAUAGGAGCAAUAUAUAUUGUACCGCAAGGGAAAAAUGAAAUAGAAAUGAAAUAAUAAUAAAGCACAAAAAAGUAAAGAUUAACUCUUGUACCUUUUGCAUCAUGAUUUAACUAGUCUACACAGGCGAAACGAUUUUAAGUCUGUCCCCCCGAAACUAAGUGAGCUACUUCAAGACAGCUUAAUGAGCAAAUCCGUCUCUGUUGCAAAAGAGUGGAGAGAUCUUCAAGUAGAGGUGACAGACCUAACGAACUUAGUAAUAGCUGGUUAUUCGAGAAAAAGAUAUUAGUUCAACCUAAAGUCAAAUUAAUUAUUAAAAAUAAAAACUCCGACCUUAGAGCAAUUCAAUUAAGGUACAGCCUACUUGAAACAGGAUACAACCUUAACUAAUGGGUAAUCUUAUUAAUUUUCGUCUUUAAGUGGGCCUAAAAGCAGCCACCUUUCAAAUAGCGUCAAAGCUUAACUACCUAAUUAUUUAAUACCAAAAACAUAUUUUAACCCUUUACCCCUAUCGAAUAAUUCUAUAUUACUAUAGAAAUUUUUAUGUUAAAACUAGUAACAAGAAUUAAAUUUUCUCUAUAAUGUUAGUGUACAUCAGAAAGGAUAAACCACUGAUAAUUAACCUGUCUGAGUAAAAAGUGGUAACUUAACAAGAAAACCCCCCUAACUCCAAUGUUAAUCUAACACAAGUACAUUUAAAGAAAGAUUUAAAGAAAAAGAAGGAACUCGGCAAACAUUAACCUCGCCUGUUUACCAAAAACAUCGCCUCUUGUUUAAAUAUAAGAGGUCCAGCCUGCCCAGUGACUCUGUUCAACGGCCGCGGUAUCCUAACCGUGCGAAGGUAGCGUAAUCACUUGUUCUUUAAAUAAGGACUAGUAUGAAUGGCACCACGAGGGUUAUACUGUCUCCUUUUUCUAAUCAGUGAAACUAAUCUUCCCGUGAAGAAGCGGGAAUUUUUAUAUAAGACGAGAAGACCCUAUGGAGCUUUAGACAAAUAACAACUACUAAUUUUUAUAAUAUUUCAGAUAAUUAAACUAUAGCCUAGUAUUAUGAUUAUAAGUCUUUGGUUGGGGUGACCGCGGAGUAAAAAUUAACCUCCACAUUGAAAGAAUACUAUUUCUAAGCAAAAAGCCACAUCUUUAAGCAUCAACAAAUUGACAUCUAUUGAUCCAAUAUUUUGAGCAACGAACCAAGUUACCCUAGGGAUAACAGCGCAAUCCACUUCGAGAGCUCUUAUCGACAAGUGGGCUUACGACCUCGAUGUUGGAUCAGGGUGUCCAAGUGGUGUAGCCGCUACUAAAGGUUCGUUUGUUCAACGAUUAAAACCCUACGUGAUCUGAGUUCAGACCGGAGUAA